UUUUGUCCAAGGAUAGAACUUAGCUCGGUGUGCAGACAUAUGCCAACAACUUAAAAACCCAGCUAAGCUAAGGAUUGCCUGUGUAAAUCUUAAUUAUGAAAGUGGCUUUCGUGUAUAUAUUACCAUCCAGACAAAUAUAAAAAUUAAAACCAGAAGAAAUCAUCUCUUGACACUAACAAUAAUCAACCAGAAAUUGGAUGAUUUGGUUUUGACAUAUAUUGCUUGGCUGGACCUUACCUUGUCCCGUGGAGAAAUUAUUAGGUGGGUCAAGUCCACCAUGGACUUAGAUUGAAAAAAAGCUAACUAGAGAUGAUUUUACUCUAGAUUCACGGUGAACCUCGUCCGCCUAAUAAUUCUCCAUCCAGCGACAUCAUGCCUUCAACAUGGCUUAUGCUAACUUGGGCCCUCAUAUUUCCCACUUUUGUGGAAAGAGUAAGCUCACACCAGACACCACAUUCUACUUACCUUUAUUCCCCAUGGGUCCACACGUAGUUACCAAUUGCUUUAGCUUUUUAGCUAUAUACCAUUCCCUUGGAAUGUUUAUGAUAUGAUUCCACAGAUGGCCAACCGUUGACUGGACUGAUCAGAGCAGAGUCUAUGUUCUCAUCCUCCAAUACAAACUUGAAAUGUCUCGGAGCCCAAUUCUGAGUCCAAAAGUUCUGUCAUAAAGGGCUGGCAUGCAACGUGGAACAAAGGAAUUGGAAUUUUAUAUCACAACCCAAAUGUGUAUCACACUGAUCCCAUGUAUCACACCAAUCUGCAUGUGACACAUGG
RNAcentral lists this long non-coding RNA (774 nucleotides) under Phoenix dactylifera (date palm). RNAcentral describes it as "long non-coding RNA (PDAC_LNC002757)". The record is from RNAcentral. Lineage: Eukaryota; Viridiplantae; Streptophyta; Magnoliopsida; Arecales; Arecaceae.